Molecule: ribosomal RNA, 255 nt
Filed under: uncultured bacterium
Lineage: Bacteria
Description: partial 16S ribosomal RNA
Rfam family: Bacterial small subunit ribosomal RNA
Source: RNAcentral
CACGUAGGGUGCGAGCGUUGUCCGGAAUUAUUGGGCGUAAAGAGCUCGUAGGCGGUGUGUCGCGUCGGCCGUGAAAACCUGCAGCUUAACUGUGGGCUUGCGGUCGAUACGGGCAUCACUGGAGUUCGGCAGGGGAGACUGGAAUUCCUGGUGUAGCGGUGAAAUGCGCAGAUAUCAGGAGGAACACCAAUGGCGAAGGCAGCUCGCUGGGACGGUUACUGACGCUGAGACGCGAAAGCGUGGGGAGCAAACAGG